ACCCACCAUUCGUCAUUAUGUAUUUGCACAGUGCAGAAGGCAGAGUCAAGUCAGUGGAAAAUUGUAAAAAAGAUAGCCCCGUUUACAAAGUAGUAGCAAUUAAAUAGUGCAUUAAAAUCUAAUAAGUAGUAAUGCAGAUAGUAUAAAUCUAAAUAAUAAUACCGAUUAGAUAAUAAUGAAAUAAACGCCAAUCCGAAAACCCAGAAUAAUAAAAACUAAGCGUGAGAACAGAAAAAUAAAAAGAUAACUACGAAGAACGGAUCGCCAGUGGACGUGACCUUGUUUGGCAGGAGAAGAAGGACGAAAUUCUGAGGGAAGGACCCUUUCCACAUGACCCCAGCAUUUGCUCUGCUCGUGAAUGUCGGACCGCAGUGGGGGCAGGGAUGCCGGAUUUUGAGAUGAAUGCGGUUCAGGUGGCGCACCAGGUUACAUCUUUGUGUCAAAAUUCUUGGAACACUGAGGGCAGGGGAUGUCUUUCAGCUCCCGGUUAACUGUGUUCUUGUUGGUGACGUGACUUUGUUUUUCAGUGAAAGCUUGGUCGCAUUCGUCGCAUCUGAAAAGUUUUUCCUUCGUGUGAGGCACCAAGUGAGAAUUAUAGCUGGAAUUCUGUGGGGAGACUUUCUAGGGGCAAGACAGACACACUUGACUCCAACCUUGGUCAACUAGUGCGGCUUUCUCGUCAUCGUUGAGAUAGGUGAAAUGAUGAUCGGUCAGAGCUGCUUUGGAGGAGAACGUUUUUCGACAAACGUGGCAUCUUCCGCCCACUUUGUCCAUGAUUUCGCCCAAAAGAUAAGUCAGACCAGAUGGGCUUUUGAACCGGUUGUUGCAGAAGAAGGAGUCGUGUCGCCAGCCCUCUUUCACCUCCGCUUGCUCCGCUGGGCUCAAAUGGACGAAGAGAUGACCGGUCAAGUGUGCUUGCUGGAUGAAUUUUUGUUCGCAAACGGGGCAGUCGUGGGUCUUCCUAAGUACGUUCGUGUGGAUUGACGUGGUCGGUAAAGAGUUGACAGUUGAAGAAUACUUUAGUCACAUCGCAUGGAAAGUGCAGGCCCGCUCCAGCGAUUUGAGGCGGACCCAAUGAUGAGAAUUUAAAAGUGGGUGCAGCACCAACGCGCGUCCUUAUUCGACCCAGCCUUCGCUCCUGACAGAAACACUCGCCACCUUUACCUCCUCAAGCAUCGUGGCGUCCAUUAUCCAUUAUCCAUUGUCCAUUAUCUCACUGAUCUUUUGCUGAGUCCAACCUUGAGCAAUCUAUGGCUGAAUUUGAAAACCUGAAAUGUAGGAUUCGACAAGGAAGGAUUUUUUACUCUCGAACACACGCCUCACUCCCAAAUUUUAAGAACGAUGAUAAAGAGACCAGACAAUGUUACUAGUGGAAACUGACCGGCAGAAAGGGCAGUCAUCGUGGUCGUCGCGUCGUGGAUAAAAUCUACCCAUGCAAAAUACGCCUCCGUCCCUUCACCAACAAAACCAGUCCUCACCUCCACGCCCACACCCACCUCAACAGCGACGAAUUGAAGCAGACUUCAAUUUCCCAUCCGCAGUGUCCCCACUGCCAAAAACUUUUCCUCAAUCGUCAGCACUUUCUCGACCACAUCAAUCCCCACGAAGGUCGGAAGAGUCAUUAUUUACAAAAAGAAGUUUUCCCAGAAAACAAGUCUGAUCCACUAUCACUUCGUCAAUUUGAACCUAGGGGAGCAAGCGGAGGAUGAAGCAGGGAUGGCGAUGCGACCGCUCCUUCUGCAAAAAACGAUCCAAAAGUCCAUCUAGUCUCACUUAUCUUGUGGGCCAAACCAUGGAGAAAGUGGACAGGAGAGGCCACCUUUCUCGAAGAACUUCUCCCCAAACAAGUCCGAACCAAUCAUUGUUCCAUCCGUCUCUGCGAAGAUGAAAGAGCCGCACGGGUUGAGCAGGAUUUGGGCCAAGUCUGCCUAUUUUGUCACAAGAUAUUCGCCAACAACCCCACUUAUCGGUCUCACCUGGUCGCCCACACGCAGGAAAAUCCUUUCAAAUGCGACGAAUAUGACGAAGCCUUCACUAAAAACAGUCUCUCGUCACCCACAAGAAAACUGUUCAUCGGAUGCUGAAAGACAUCCCUUUGCCCCCAGUGCUCCAAGAAGGUUGGCACGAAGAGUGACAUGAUGCCACGCCUGAACAGUUUUCGUCACAAAAUCCGGCAUCACUCCCCCCAUUGCAAACUGACAUCCACGGGCAAAUCAAGUAGGUGGGGUCAUGUCUGGAGGGUUGAUCCCUCAGAAUCUCGUCCUCCUUAUCCGGCCGAACAACGUCGCAUCAACUGGGGAAAUGUUUUUCACACCUUAUACUUUUAUUUUUCUGGUUUCAAUCUUAUUGUUUACUGUUGUGAAUUUUUUGGUUGGCUGUUAUUUCAUUAUUGUUUAGUUGAUAGUAUUAUUGAGAUUUGUAUUAUUUGUAUUGUUACUCAUUCGAUUUUAAUUCAUUGUUUUAUCGAUGUUGUUUUGAGAAGCUCGUUAUGUUUUUACCAUUUUCCAUUUGACUCUGCCUUCUGCAUUAUGCGAAUAAAUAUAAUAACAAAUAA
Folsomia candida is the source of this 2554-nucleotide long non-coding RNA. RefSeq lists it as uncharacterized. The transcript has 4 exons. NCBI's taxonomy places the organism in Eukaryota, Metazoa, Arthropoda, Collembola, Entomobryomorpha, Isotomidae. The record is from RefSeq and is a predicted model, not a curated record.